Molecule: ribosomal RNA, 301 nt
Filed under: uncultured bacterium
Lineage: Bacteria
Description: partial 16S ribosomal RNA
Rfam family: Bacterial small subunit ribosomal RNA
Source: RNAcentral
CAGCAGCCGCUGGAAUACAGAGGGUGCGAGCGUUAAUCGGAUUUACUGGGCGUAAAGCGUGCGUAGGCGGCUUUUUAAGUCGGAUGUGAAAUCCCUGAGCUUAACUUAGGAAUUGCAUUCGAUACUGGGAAGCUAGAGUAUGGGAGAGGAUGGUAGAAUUCCAGGUGUAGCGGUGAAAUGCGUAGAGAUCUGGAGGAAUACCGAUGGCGAAGGCAGCCAUCUGGCCUAAUACUGACGCUGAGGUACGAAAGCAUGGGGAGCAAACAGGAUUAGAUACCCCCGUAGUCCCUGUCUCUUAUAC